Molecule: ribosomal RNA, 521 nt
Filed under: uncultured bacterium
Lineage: Bacteria
Description: bacterial SSU rRNA
Rfam family: Bacterial small subunit ribosomal RNA
Source: RNAcentral
CUUGGUCAGAACGAACGCUGGCGGCGUGCUUAACACAUGCAAGUCGAACGCGAAAGGGACUUCGGUCCUGAGUAAAGUGGCGCACGGGCGAGUAACGCGUAGAUAACCUGUCUUCAUGUCUGGAAUAAUACGCCGAAAGGGGUACUAAUACCGGAUAUUCUUGCUUUUCAUAAGUUAUGCAAGCAAAGGUGGCCUCUGCAUAUGCUACUGCAUGAAGGAGGGGUCUGCGUACCAUUAGCUAGUAGGGUGGGGUAAUGGCCUACCUAGGCGACGAUGGUUAGCGGGUCUGAGAGGAUGAUCCGCCACACUGGCACUGGAACACGGGCCAGACUCCUACGGGAGGCAGCAGUGAGGAAUAUUGCGCAAUGGGGGAAACCCUGACGCAGCGACGCCGCGUGAGUGAGGAAGGCCUUCGGGUCGUAAAGCUCUGUCAAGAGGAAAGAAGUGUACAAUGGCUAAUACCUGUUGUAUUUGACGGUACCUCUAAAGGAAGCACCGGCUAACUCCGUGCCAGCCGCCGC